GAAGCAGUAGUUGGUACAAACCCACAGAGAUAUGCCUUUACCGCUCGAGGUAUAUCUUUAAUUUUUCUUGUAAAAAGUUACAAGGCAACUAAACCCCCAAUCCCUAUAGCGACGGUCCGCGUUGACAUUACAUUACAUCGGUUAGUUCACGUUCCCCCCUUAUCAAAACUCCAAAAUCGCGUAACACCUCCAUUCGACGUAUAUUCGACGAGCCUAUACGUUUGACGGAGAGUGUGAAAAAACAGUUUAUUGUAUUUUUUCCAUUGCAUUGACACUUUACCGAAUUCCUGGUUGGAAAUUACAGAAAGUAAUAUUAAAAUUUCAUGGAAUAAAAUUACUGAUCCUGCUAGUCCUCCCAUUCAGUCAGACAUGUCAGUGCUUGAACCAGAUUUGAGCUACACAUAGUAAGUGUUAUCACAAGAGAGCAAUACACCCUAGCAAUUAUGUUUUACACAAUUUUUAUUGAACUGCGAGGGAGAAGAAAGGAGGGACGAAAAUGAAGAGACAGAAGUAGAAACGGAAAGACUUCAGGAAGAACCGUAUGAGAACAAUAAAUUACGUAUGGUUACAUUGCCACAUAGUGCAAGAGAAUCACCUCACAUGCAAUACAUGGUGAAGGCAUUGAAAUUGUAUUUCUUGGGCAAGGAAAAUUAAAUAAGAAAUAGAGGAAAAUCAUCACAGUAGGCCACGAUACUACACGAUUCCAAGGAUGAUAGGCCAUAAAACAUUCAAUAUAGAAUAUAAAUUUUCACAAUAAAUAUUAAAUAAAUAAAUGUAAUCGAAGUUA
Megalopta genalis is the source of this 787-nucleotide non-coding RNA. The record is from RefSeq and is a predicted model, not a curated record. NCBI's taxonomy places the organism in Eukaryota, Metazoa, Arthropoda, Insecta, Hymenoptera, Halictidae.